Non-coding RNA from Crucibulum laeve, 82 nucleotides. NCBI's taxonomy places the organism in Eukaryota, Fungi, Basidiomycota, Agaricomycetes, Agaricales, Nidulariaceae. The record is from the annotation of a GenBank genome assembly.
GGGUCGAUGGCGUAGCUGGUUAUCGCAUCUGUCUAACAUUUAGGUGCACAGAAGGUCCUCAGUUCGAACCUGGGUCGACUCA